Molecule: ribosomal RNA, 253 nt
Filed under: uncultured bacterium
Lineage: Bacteria
Description: partial 16S ribosomal RNA
Rfam family: Bacterial small subunit ribosomal RNA
Source: RNAcentral
UACGGAGGGUGCAAGCGUUAUCCGGAAUCAUUGGGUUUAAAGGGUCCGCAGGCGGUUCUAUAAGUCAGUGGUGAAAUCUCUCGGCUCAACCGAGAAACUGCCAUUGAUACUGUAGGACUUGAAUUCGGUCGAAGUGGGCGGAAUAUGACAUGUAGCGGUGAAAUGCUUAGAUAUGUCAUAGAACACCGAUAGCGAAGGCAGCUCACUAGGCCUGGAUUGACGCUCAGGGACGAAAGCGUGGGGAUCAAACAGG